AUGGCGUAUAUGAAAGCGACUAACUUAGUCGACCUCCUCGAUCUUGGGGCCAGCACCGCCGCUGGCAGCCGGCGCGUCCUCGUCCAUGCCUCCCGGCAUGUCAGCACCAGCGCCCUGGUACAUCUUGGCGAUGAUGGGGUUGCAGAGGCCCUCCAGCUCCUUCAUCUUGUCCUCGAACUCGUCAACCUCACCAAGCUGGUUGGCGUCAAGCCACUGGAUCGCAGCGUCGACAGCGUCCUCGAUCUUCUUCUUGUCGUCAGCGGGCAGCUUGGAGGCGAUCUUCUCGUCCUGGAUGGUGUUCCUCAUGUUGUAGGCGUAGUUCUCCAGGGAGUUCUUGGCGUCAACCUUCUUCUUGUGCUCCUCGUCCUCAGACUUGUACUUCUCUGCGUCCUGGACCAUCUUCUCAAUGUCGUCCUUGCUCAGCCUGCCCUUGUCGUUGGUGAUGGUGAUCUUGUUCUUCUGGCCAGUGGUCUUGUCCUCAGCAGAGACAUUCAGGAUACCGUUGGCAUCAAUGUCGAAGCAGACAGUGAUCUGGGGAACACCCCUGGGUGCAGGCGGGAUGCCGGAGAGCUCAAACUUGCCGAGCAGGUUGUUGUCCCUGGUCCUUGUCCUCUCACCCUCAAACACCUGGAUGAGCACACCAGGCUGGUUGUCGGAGUAGGUGGAGAAGACCUGCUCCUUCUUGGUGGGGAUGGUGGUGUUCCUGGUGAUGAGCACAGUCAUGACUCCUCCAGCAGUCUCAAGACCAAGAGACAGUGGGGUCACAUCGAGGAGGAGAAGGUCCUGCACCUUCUCGUUCCCCUCACCGCUGAGGAUUGCAGCCUGCACGGCAGCACCGUAGGCAACAGCUUCAUCAGGGUUGAUGCUCUUGCAGAGCUCCUUCCCGUUGAAGAAGUCCUGCAGCAGCUGCUGAACUCUGGGGAUCCUGGUGGAACCACCAACAAGCACGACAUCAUGGAUAGUGCUCUUGUCCAUCUUGGCAUCCCUCAGGCACUUCUCCACUGGCUCCAUGCACUUCCUGAAGAGGUCCAUGUUGAGCUCCUCAAACCUGGCCCUGGUGAUGGUGGAAUAGAAAUCAACUCCCUCAAAGAGUGA
This 1095-nucleotide ribosomal RNA is filed under the name Triticum aestivum (bread wheat). RNAcentral's name for it is "partial small subunit ribosomal RNA". Lineage: Eukaryota; Viridiplantae; Streptophyta; Magnoliopsida; Poales; Poaceae. The record is from RNAcentral.